This is a long non-coding RNA of Hypanus sabinus (Atlantic stingray), 1169 nucleotides long. RefSeq lists it as uncharacterized. Lineage: Eukaryota; Metazoa; Chordata; Chondrichthyes; Myliobatiformes; Dasyatidae. The transcript is spliced from 5 exons. The record is from RefSeq and is a predicted model, not a curated record.
UUAGCUCCCUGGUCUUCUGACAUUGAGUGAGAGGUUGUUGCUAUGACACCACUCAGCCAGAUUUUCAAUCUCCCUCCUUUAUGCUGAUUAAUCACCACCUUUGAUUCAGCCUAUGACAGUAAGGUCAUCAGUAAACUUGGAUUUGGCAUUGAGCUGUGUUUAGCCACACAGUUUGCAUAAAGUGAGGAGAGCAGAGGACUAAGCUCAAAGCCUUGUGGUGUACCUGUGCUGAUGGAGAUCAUGAAGGAGAUGUUGCCAAUCUGAACUGACUGAUCUGCAAGUGAGAAAAUCAUGGAUCCAAUUGCAUAAGGAGGUGAUGUUCCACGGUUGAGGGAAGAGCCAAUGAGAUGACAUCUGCUGCGGACCUGUUGCUCUGGUCAGCAAAUUGAAGCGGAUCUAAGUCGCUUCUCAGGCAGGAACUGAUAUGUUUCAUCACCAACGUCUCAAAACAUUUCUUCACUGUGGGCUCGAGUUGGAGAGUGAAGACUUUGCCGAAGUACGGGAACCCGCAGGAUUGAGUAAAGUUGGCGUCGUUCGGCGGUUUUAUAAAGGAUCAACCUUAUUGAAUCUUCGUUCAGGAAUAGUGACCUGCAUCUGAGCUAACCCCUGCAAGAUCAGGAGGGUUUGUGCAGUGUUCACCUUCCAGCAGCAAAAGGUUUGACAAGAAGCUCAGAGACCUCGGCCUUCACCCUGCCUUGUGCACCUGGAUCCUGGACUUCUUGUCAGAUCGCCAGCAGGUGGUUGACGCGAGCCCUUGACAAGAGCUUAUUCGCCUCAGUUUCUUCUCGUAACCGGAACCAUAAUAAAAGUCAGUCUCCAGACAAUUUGAUUCAUUCCUCAUGAUGUCAAGAAACAGCUGAAAGCUUUAGAUAUGGCAAAGACAAUGGUAACUCUUUUCCCUCCUACCAUCUGGCAAAAGGCACCAAAGUAUUCGGGCUCUCACGACAAGACUGUGUAACAGUUUCUUCCCCCAAGUCAUCAGACUCCUCAAUACCCAGAGCCUGGAUUGACACCAACCUACUGCCCUCUACUGUGCCUACUGUCUUUAUUGUACUGCCUAUUAAUCAUACUGCCUGCACUGUUUUGUGCACUUUAUGCAGUCCUGUGUAGGUCUGUAGUCUAGUGUAAUUUUUUUGUUGUUUCACGUAGUUUCAGUUUAGUUUUUAUAU